GAUAAAUCGACCCCCGAGCACUCUCCUGUCCAUUCCUGUACUCCAGUGGCAUAGGCAGAGUCAACGGAGGAGUGGCAGCAGUCGACUCACAGCGGUGGAGACAUCACGUUUCAGCUUUUCUUCUUGACACUUGAAAAUAUUGCAUCUCUUCAUGGAGAUUAAAAUUUGACAUGAGAAGAGCAAGGAAAAAUCUUGAUCUUUAGAGCUCAGCUGUGAGAUGGCUAUCCAUUAAAUACCAAACCCUCGAGAAUGCUGGAAGUUUCCAGUGGGAAAACCCACAUUUAGGAACACAACUAUUCAUCAUCGUUAGGGGAGAAGGAGCUG
Chelonia mydas (Green sea turtle) is the source of this 324-nucleotide long non-coding RNA. RefSeq lists it as uncharacterized. The record is from RefSeq and is a predicted model, not a curated record. The transcript is spliced from 3 exons. Lineage: Eukaryota; Metazoa; Chordata; Testudines; Cheloniidae.